This 465-nucleotide ribosomal RNA is filed under the name uncultured bacterium. RNAcentral describes it as "bacterial SSU rRNA". It matches the Rfam family "Bacterial small subunit ribosomal RNA", at positions 337 to 797 of the family's 1533-position model. The record is from RNAcentral.
ACCUACGGGACGCAGCAGUUAAGAAUAUUGCGCAAUGGGCGAAAGCCUGACGCAGCGACGCCGCGUGAAGGAAGAAGGCUCUCGGGUUGUAAACUUCAUUAAGAUGGGAAGAAUAAGUGUGGUCUAAUAGGCCGCGCGAUGACGGUACCAUCCUGCAGCCCCGGCUAAUUACGUGCCAGCAGCCGCGGUAACACGUAAGGGGCAAGCGUUGUUCGGAUUUAUUGGGCGUAAAGGGCGCGUAGGCGGGUAAUUAAGUUGGGUGUUUAACCUUCAGGCUCAACCUGAAGUCUGCACUCAAUACUGAUUAUCUUGAGUAUCGGAGGGGAAAGUGGAAUUCUUGGUGUAGCGGUGGAAUGCGUAGAUAUCAAGAGGAACACCAGUGGCGAAGGCGACUUUCUGGCCGAAUACUGACGCUAAAGCGCGAAAGCGUGGGGAGCAAACAGGAUUAGAUACCCGCGUAGUCCC